GGGUUCGAGACCAGUCUGGGUCACAUAGUGAGACUUCGUCUAUAUUAAAGAUAAAAAUUAAAAGAGUAGCUGGGCGUGGUGACACACAUUUGUUUUCACAGCUACUUGGGAGGGUGAGGCUGGAGAAUCGCUUUGGAAGAGGGAAGCCAGGUGAAUCAAAAGAAGAAAGAAAGAGGUGCCUGCAUUUUGCUGUCAAGACGCUCUCACCGAGGCUCAGGUUCUUCAUGUUCCGCUCCUAUUUUAGGCUUGGGACUGUAUAGCUGCUUAGUCCUGGGAAGGACUUAGGGGCUGACUGGUCCAGCCACACCAUUUCAUGAUGGCUCAGAAAAGGAAGGUAACUUGCCCAGUGUUACACAGACAGCUAGUGACAAAGUCCAGACUAAAACCUUCAUUUCCUCACUCCCAUUGCAGUGUUAUUUCCGUCUCUUCAUAUGGCUUCAAAAGUGCAUGUUUCCCAGAUCCCUCCUGUAAGACUUUGUCCCUGGACCCAGAGCUGUAGGCCCUUUGGACAGAAGCCAGCGCCUCAAGGAGAGGCAGGAGAGAAGCACCUGGGGAGGCUGGGGGAUGGGCCUGCCCUGGGAGUUAAUUUUAUUCACUUCAGUGGGACCAAAUGGAAUCGGAGCAUUAACGUGGUGAGUGUGCCUCAGAGCUGUCUAAACCAGCCGUGAAUACUAACCAGGGAGCUUAGAGGGAGCUAAAAAUAACUGGCUAAUCACCACCAGGAAGAAUUAACAAGGACUCUGAAGAAAGGAAAAUGUCUUAAUAUUCCAUCUCUCUGGCAGCUGGGCUCCAGCUGGGACUGAAGUCUCCUCCUGGCUUCCAUAGGUAGGGAUGGGGUUUUGCCAUGUUAUCCAGGCUGGUCUUGAACUCCUGACCUCAAGUGAUCCACCUGCCUCAGCCUCCCAAAAUGCUGAGAUUACAAAUGUGAGCCAUUGCACCUGGCCAGGACCUAAAUGCAGUCUUGAAGACGGGAAGUACAGCUGCUUGGAGCCUAUGGAUGAAGAUAAGAGAAAAAGGUUAAGAAGGGACCUCUUGCCUGAUUUCAUCCAUCGAACACGAUGUGUCCCUGUGCUGUGUGCUUCGUUCACUUUUCUUCCUUCUCUAUUGUCUUUGGACCAUCUCCUUAACCUUGUGGUUUUAACUGUUACUUCUGGCUCCAGAAUCCACAUCUGCCGAACUCAUUCGCCUGCUGAACUCAUACAGAAAGAUGGGUCUCCAGAAAGAAAUCUGUAUUCGUUUCCUGCAGCUGCCGGAACAAAUGGCCACAAAUGGGGUGGCCUCAGACAACCGAAAUUUGUUCUUCCACAGUUCUGGAGGGCAGAUGUCUGAGCCCCAGGUGUCAGCGGCACUGCAUGUCCUUUGGAGGCAUCUGGGGAGAAUGCUUCCUUCUCCAUCCAGCCUCAGGUGGCUGCCCGCCAUCCUUGGCUUCUCCAGCUGUGGCUGCACCAUUCUGACCUCUGCUUCCAUUUUCACGCGGCCCUCUCCUCUGUGUGUCUCAAGUCUUCCUCUAUGUGUCUUUUGUAAAGGCAUCCAUUACUGGAUUUAGAACCCACCCAGAUAAUCCAGGAUGGUCUUUUCAUGUCAAGACUUCUAAUUAUAUAUGCAAAGCCCUUUUUUCCAAAUAAGGUAAGUUUCAUAGGUUCUGGGCAUUAGGACUUGGAUAAACUUUUAGGAGACCGCCAUUCAACUCACUACAAAUUCAUUGCCUUCCCUUAAAAUCUACUUCUCAUCUCCACUAAAGCCACUGUCCUCUCCCUUUGGUGAGUUGGGCCACAUACUCCAAAAGCAUCUGAGACUCUGUCUCUCUUAUUUCCCACUCCAAUGGGCUGCCCAAUAGUGAUGAUUUUUUUUUAACCCUGUGUCUCAAACUUGUGCCUCCUUGCCACCUGGCCCGGUCCACACCCUCCCCAUGUCUGACCACCAGAAACACAUCCCGGCAACGCUCCCUGCAUCUGGUUUGACCACGUGAAGGUCCCUCCUCCACUGCAACCAAGUAAUAUCACAAGUGUCUCUACUUGACACCCUUCAUGUGUUCCUAUCUCUUCUCCUGGCUGAAAGGGGCUUCUAGAACGUUCUGCUAGUGCUGCGUUGGAUUCGUGCUCUGUAACACUGCACAUAUCACUUCAGGAUUGCUCGCGGUGGCUCCUUUCAUAAGCCACGUGGUUUCCUGUCUCUGCGCUUCUGCUUAUGUUGCUGCCUUUUUCUGGAAUUUUCUCACACCUUAUUCAUGGCAUCACCUUCCUUUAACUCUCAGGAGGAGGGUCCUCUCCUGGCACCCAAGAUCUGUGGACAUUUCUGUCAUUACAACCUACCUGUUGCACCCAGAGUAUUUGUUUAUAUGUAUCUUCCCAAACAAAUUCUAUCUCAUUCCCCUUUGUAACCCCAGUCCUCAGUCCAGGGCCUUGUAUAGUAGU
Callithrix jacchus (white-tufted-ear marmoset) is the source of this 2414-nucleotide long non-coding RNA. The record is from Ensembl. NCBI's taxonomy places the organism in Eukaryota, Metazoa, Chordata, Mammalia, Primates, Cebidae.